GCGACUGUAGUCUAGUGGUAGGAUCUGACCUUGCCAAGGUUAGGACCCGGGUCCGAAUCCCGGCGGUCGCA
Molecule: transfer RNA, 71 nt
Filed under: Candidatus Iainarchaeum sp.
Lineage: Archaea; Nanobdellati; Candidatus Iainarchaeota; Candidatus Iainarchaeia; Candidatus Iainarchaeales; Candidatus Iainarchaeaceae
Description: tRNA-Gly
Rfam family: tRNA
About the family: Transfer RNA (tRNA) molecules are approximately 80 nucleotides in length. Their secondary structure includes four short double-helical elements and three loops (D, anti-codon, and T loops).
Source: RNAcentral